UACGUAGGGGGCAAGCGUUGUCCGGAAUCAUUGGGCGUAAAGAGCGUGUAGGCGGUCCGGUAAGUCGGUUGUGAAAGCCCAGGGCUCAACCCUGGGAUGCCGACCGAUACUGUCGGACUAGAGUUCGGAAGAGGCGAGUGGAAUUCCCGGUGUAGCGGUGAAAUGCGCAGAUAUCUGGAGGAAUACCGGUGGCGAAGGCGGCAUCCUGGACCGACAUUGACGCUGAGGAGCGAAAGCUAGGGGAGCAAACGGG
RNAcentral lists this ribosomal RNA (253 nucleotides) under uncultured bacterium. RNAcentral's name for it is "partial 16S ribosomal RNA". It matches the Rfam family "Bacterial small subunit ribosomal RNA", at positions 524 to 776 of the family's 1533-position model. The record is from RNAcentral.